GUCUACACCCAUACCACCUUGAACGUGCCCGAUCUCUUCCGAUCUUGGAAGCUAAGCAGGGUUGGGCCUGAUUACUACCUGGCUGGGAAA
RNAcentral lists this ribosomal RNA (90 nucleotides) under Tursiops truncatus (common bottlenose dolphin). Lineage: Eukaryota; Metazoa; Chordata; Mammalia; Artiodactyla; Delphinidae. The record is from RNAcentral.